GGAGAGAUGGCCGAGUGGCUUAAGGCACCUCAUUGCUAACGAGGAGUAGGUUAAAACCUGCCGUGAGUUCGAAUCUCACUCUCUCCGCCA
RNAcentral lists this transfer RNA (90 nucleotides) under Gammaproteobacteria bacterium. Its description in RNAcentral is "tRNA-Ser". It matches the Rfam family "tRNA". Rfam says of the family: Transfer RNA (tRNA) molecules are approximately 80 nucleotides in length. Their secondary structure includes four short double-helical elements and three loops (D, anti-codon, and T loops). Further hydrogen bonds mediate the characteristic L-shaped molecular structure. tRNAs have two regions of fundamental functional importance: the anti-codon, which is responsible for specific mRNA codon recognition, and the 3' end, to which the tRNAs corresponding amino acid is attached (by aminoacyl-tRNA synthetases). tRNAs cope with the degeneracy of the genetic code in two manners: having more than one tRNA (with a specific anti-codon) for a particular amino acid; and 'wobble' base-pairing, i.e. permitting non-standard base-pairing at the 3rd anti-codon position. The record is from RNAcentral. Lineage: Bacteria; Pseudomonadati; Pseudomonadota; Gammaproteobacteria.